Molecule: ribosomal RNA, 253 nt
Filed under: uncultured bacterium
Lineage: Bacteria
Description: partial 16S ribosomal RNA
Rfam family: Bacterial small subunit ribosomal RNA
Source: RNAcentral
UACGGAGGGUGCAAGCGUUGUUCGGAAUUAUUGGGCGUAAGGGGUGCGUAGGCGGUGUGGUAAGUCUGAUGUGAAACCUCCAGGCUCAACUUGGAGCUGGCAUCAGAAACUGCCGUGCUAGAGUGCGGGAGAGGAGAGUGGAAUUCCUGGUGUAGCGGUGAAAUGCGUAGAUAUCAGGAGGAACACCGGUGGCGAAAGCGGCUCUCUGGACCGCAACUGACGCUGAGGCACGAAAGCUAGGGGAGCAAACAGG